Molecule: ribosomal RNA, 253 nt
Filed under: uncultured bacterium
Lineage: Bacteria
Description: partial 16S ribosomal RNA
Rfam family: Bacterial small subunit ribosomal RNA
Source: RNAcentral
UACGAAGGGGGCUAGCGUUGCUCGGAAUCACUGGGCGUAAAGCGCACGUAGGCGGCUUUCUAAGUCAGGGGUGAAAUCCUGGAGCUCAACUCCAGAACUGCCUUUGAUACUGGAGAGCUCGAGUCCGGGAGAGGUGAGUGGAACUCCGAGUGUAGAGGUGAAAUUCGUAGAUAUUCGCAAGAACACCAGUGGCGAAGGCGGCUCACUGGCCCGGUACUGACGCUGAGGUGCGAAAGCGUGGGGAGCAAACAGG